RNAcentral lists this long non-coding RNA (368 nucleotides) under Cervus hanglu yarkandensis (Yarkand deer). RNAcentral describes it as "lncRNA (ENSCHYG00000000230.1)". The record is from RNAcentral. Lineage: Eukaryota; Metazoa; Chordata; Mammalia; Artiodactyla; Cervidae.
AUGUGCAGGAAAAUGAGUAACCAGCCCUGGGGAUCAUACUUGAAAAAUCAGGAAGUGAUGCCUUCGAAGCCAGGACCCAUGAUGAUGCCCCAUUUUCAUCCUCCUAAGAAGCAUGUGCUGCCUGUCAGGAGAACCAGCCCCUUGGACACCAGCUGUUCUUUUCAUGUUCAGAGGGACAGAAAUCAGCAGAAGAAUCAGAGCAAAACAGCCACCCUCUCCCACUCACUCCUUCUCACCACUGAUAGCAGCGAUGGGCCAGGGACCAAUGCAGAGGGAAAGAGAACACUUCAGUUCAUCCUCAGCUCCCAGCACUCUGCAGGAAGACCAUGCAAUAGAAGAGUCACAGCACGAAGAGAAGUCAGGGUCAC